Molecule: non-coding RNA, 23 nt
Filed under: Arabidopsis thaliana (thale cress)
Lineage: Eukaryota; Viridiplantae; Streptophyta; Magnoliopsida; Brassicales; Brassicaceae
Source: RNAcentral
GCUAGUGGGUCAAUUGGUUUGAU